This 501-nucleotide ribosomal RNA is filed under the name uncultured bacterium. RNAcentral describes it as "bacterial SSU rRNA". It matches the Rfam family "Bacterial small subunit ribosomal RNA", at positions 17 to 507 of the family's 1533-position model. The record is from RNAcentral.
UCCUGGCUCAGGAUAAACGCUAGCUACAGGCUUAACACAUGCAAGUCGAGGGGAAACGAUAGAGAAAGCUUGCUUUUCUAGGCGUCGACCGGCGCACGGGUGAGUAACGCGUAUCCAACCUGCCCAUCACUUGGGGAUAACCUUGCGAAAGUAAGACUAAUACCCAAUGACGUCUCUAGAAGACAUCUGAAAGAGAUUAAAGAUUUAUCGGUGAUGGAUGGGGAUGCGUCUGAUUAGCUUGUUGGCGGGUAACGGCCCACCAAGGCGACGAUCAGUAGGGGUUCUGAGAGGAAGGUCCCCCACAUUGGAACUGAGACACGGUCCAAACUCCUACGGGAGGCAGCAGUGAGGAAUAUUGGUCAAUGGGCGAGAGCCUGAACCAGCCAAGUCGCGUGAAGGAUGAAGGAUCUAUGGUUUGUAAACUUCUUUUAUAUGGGAAUAAAGUGAGGAACGUGUUCCUUUUUGUAUGUACCAUAUGAAUAAGCAUCGGCUAACUCCGUG